AGUGAACGCUGGCGGCGUGCCUAAUACAUGCAAGUCGAACGAAGUGGCGCACGGGUGAGUAAUAUAUAGUUAAUCUGCCCUACACAGAGGAACAACAGUUGGAAACGGCUGCUAAUACCUCAUAGUGUAGUAUGAGACUAUAUCGUAUCAGCUAGUUGGUAAGGUAAUGGCUUACCAAGGCUAUGACGCGUAACUGGUCUGAGAGGAUGAUCAGUAACAGUGGAACUGAGACACUGUCCAAACUCCAACGGGAGGCAGCAGUAAGGAAUAUUGCGCAAUGGGGGAAACCCUGACGCAGCAACGCCGCGUGGAGUAUGACACUUUUCGGAGCGUAAACUCCUAUUAGUAGGAAAGCGGUACCUGAUGAAUAAGCACCGGCUAACUCCGUGCCAGCAGCCGCGGUAAUUC
RNAcentral lists this ribosomal RNA (408 nucleotides) under uncultured bacterium. Its description in RNAcentral is "partial 16S ribosomal RNA". It matches the Rfam family "Bacterial small subunit ribosomal RNA", at positions 29 to 526 of the family's 1533-position model. The record is from RNAcentral.